Mercenaria mercenaria is the source of this 4768-nucleotide RNA transcript. RefSeq lists it as uncharacterized. The transcript is spliced from 4 exons. NCBI's taxonomy places the organism in Eukaryota, Metazoa, Mollusca, Bivalvia, Venerida, Veneridae. The record is from RefSeq and is a predicted model, not a curated record.
AUUUAAACCUGUAAUGAACACAAUUCCCAGUCAAGUCUUAUUGGAUAGUCUUUAUUAGUCAAUACCAAAAACCAUAUCAUAAUCAUUCAUAGAACGCCUGCCUUGUAAAUAUUAAAGAAAGAGGAUAAAACUUUGUUUUCAAUCGUAUCUUUGCGCAUGCACAGAGUACAUAGGUGUACCCUUUCAUUGGUUUUGAUUUAUAUAUCAUUUCUUAAUAAAAUCGAUAGAAAUCAUUUGACUCUAAUCAAUAUUAAAAGUUACCUGAAAAAUUUGUUUUAAAGUUAUAUAUCUAUUUUAACAUAUUAACAUGUGAUAAGUAUGUUUAUAUAUAUAUUAGUGAAAUUGACAAAAAAUAUUUGUACCUCUCAUGAUUUUCAGUAAACGUAUAAAAACUAGAAGUUGCAGCGUUAUGAAUAGCAUUCUAAAGUGUGGACUAAAAGCGAAAACAGUAUGGAUGUUAAGCUUUUGCACAUGCCUUUCAUUAUUAUAUGUCGGAUUUUAUUUCGCCGAUAUCAAUGUUCAUCCGUCGUUUGCAGACUUCAGUUCACUUGCCAUGUUAACUAUUAAAAAUGAGACAUUUAGACAGAACCAAAGCUUGAUUGGUGCUACCAAUCAUAUCAUUACAGCUAAAUUAUUUGAAAAGAACACUGUUGGAAUUUUGAUACCUUCAACCACACGUAGAAUGAAAGCCCCUGCAUUUCAUAAGCUAAGCUUAAAUACUUUAUGCUUACCAUCCAUUUAUAAAACCAUCGAAAACAAAUAUGUAUACAAGAUUUAUAUCGGAACCGAUCGAGAUGACUAUUUGUAUUCAAUUAAGCAUAAAAUUGAAACUCUCUUUCAUAACGUGAGUGUUUAUAAGGUGUCAGGAAAAACGUUUGUAAAAACCGUAAAUGCUAUAGCUCGAAAGGCUUAUGAUGAAGGUAUGGAUUACUUAGUUCGUAUAAACGAUGACACUUCAUUUGAAACGAAAAACUGGACAUCAGCAGGUCUAACUGUGCUUCGAUCUUACAGUCCUCCAAAUGUCGGUGUUGUCGGUCCAACAUGCAAAGGUGGGAAAACCACAAUAUUGACUCAUGAUUUGGUUCAUCGUACGCAUUUAGAUAUAUUCGGAUUUUAUUACCCUCCAUACUUUGACAACUGGUGGGCUGAUGACUGGAUUACAAAUGUGUACAAAUCAGAGCGAUCAACCAAACUUGAAUCCUGGGUUGUGAAGCAUCAUCAAAAGUUUCAUGGAACAAGAUACAAUGUAGAUUAUAAGAAAAAACAUCAGUUGAAAGAUAUAGUGUUUGAAGGUCAAAGUCAACUAAGAAAAUACAUUUCUGUUUCCAGAUAAUAACUCAAGAAUGUUUGGGCCUAGGAUCUUGAAAGUUGAUUAGCAUUGGUCAUGACCAGCAAAUGACCUCUAUCGAAUAUGAGAUUAGUAGGUCAAAGGUAAAGGUAAGUAAUCCAGAACAUAUUUUUUUUUCCAGACGAUAACUUAAGAAAGCUUAAGCUUAGAAUCACAAUAAGACAGUUAAUUCUUACCGGAAAAUGACUCCUGCUGAUUUUGCGAUUAGUUGGUCAAAGGUUAGGGUCACAGUGACCCGGAACAGUUGAGCCAUUUCAAGAUGAUGACUUUGAAACGCUUUGGCCUAUGAUCACAAAACUUACAGAAAAGUUGAUCAUGACCAGCAAGUGACACUAUUGAUGUUGAGGUCAGUAGGUAAAGGUCAAAGUCACAUUAAUCCAUGACAGUUAAACGGAUUCCCGGCGGUAACUCAAGAACACUUUGGCCUAGAAUCACGAACCUUGAUAGGGUGGUCAAUCAUGACCAGCAGAAAACACCUGUUAAUUUGAGAUCAGUUCGUCAAACGUCCAUUGCACAGUGACCAAGUAAUUUCUGUUCCUUGUGCAAACACUGAAUGCAUCAGGGGAUGGUGCCUUUUGGUGUUGUACGAUACGAGCACUUGUUCCAUAGUAAAGUAUGUCUUUCUGUCCGUCUCUUUACUUGUCAAUGUCCUAACACAUUUAUCACAAUCUUGCCUUUCGAACCGUUAUUUGAGAUUUGUUUAAAUUUUCUAAAAUAUUAUUCCAAUUGACAGUACAGAAAUAUAUACAGGAUUUUCCUCACGGUCAAGAACAGGUUCAAAUCUUCAGAUCAAGGCCACAUGUGAAUAAAGGCCAAUAAAUCAUAUAAACAUAAACAUUAGUAAUAAGCUUGUCGUGUUAAAAAGCAUUAAGAUAUUCCCUUAAUGUAAGCUUAUCAUUUUCAGGACAUGAUUUUAAUAAGAUUUAUCCUUUAGAUGAAACAAAAUUCAAGUACAUCAGGAUUAAAGGCAAAACUAAGUUUGUAGUAUCUGCAAACGCACUGUCUAAAUUAUCUUGUAAUAAAACAAGAUAUCAAAACCUUUCUCUAUCAAUCUGCAUGCGUACAAGGUUAUUGCGUAAUUUUGUUUGAAAUAUGAUUUUAUUGUUGCCUAGAUUCGUCGUUGGCCCAUUUUGUUGUUUCCACGUCAAAGGUUACGUCCCCAACUUUAGAAAAAAGGUUACAUUAGAUACUUUUGUAUAACAUAAUUUCUAUAUCAACUAUUUUAAUAUUCUAUAAAGUUUGUAGAUGAACAAAGCUUUACUAUUUCGUUUUGUCAAAAGAAUGAAGACCAAUGUCAUCUGAGAAAAAUUGCAUUUUGACAUUCUUAUUCCUUUUCACAAGUAUUUAAACAAUUAUUUUAUAUAAAGAAUACGGUAUCCUUUGUUCAGUGCUCAUGGUAUAACUUUAUUUUGAUUUAUUGUUGUUUUAUCUGAGAAAUUCUACAUGGGGUACUACAAAAUGUAUCAACAAAAUAGCUAGAAGCGAGGUAAUUUUUUAACCGGUUUGGCAGAGGACUACUUCAUUACUACGGGCUCAUUUCCAUGGAAUGAUAUAGCGGAAAAGUUGCAAGAUGUCCAGAAGACGGCCGCUCGCGUCAUCACUAAGAAGCCCCGUCGUAAUCAUAUAACACCGGUCCUGAAGGAGCUCCAUUGGUUGUCAGUGAAAUAUAGGGUACAGUACAAGGUUCUGACCCACACCUUUGAGGCUUUACACAAUCAGUCCCCUGCUUAUAUUACGGAUAUGAUAGAAGUGUAUAAACCGGUCAGAAACCUAAGAUCACAAGAAAAUCCAAACAUACUGUGAUUGAUAGUACACAAACUUGUCUUGCUGUGCACCAGACGAGAAAAGCUGGCAGUCCUCAAGGUCAUAAAAAUACAGACUAAAAUCAACAUUUACAGGUGAAGAAAUACAAACGUAUUAAAUAUAACGUUGGCGUAACAGAAUGUAUUGAGAAAUAUACAGCCAAAGAAAAUUGCAUUGUCGUUGCAAAAUCCAGAGGUGUUCCAACAUCAUGCCUGGCAUGAAAAUAGGCGAGAUGUAACAUCGAAGCUCUGCUGGCACGCGAUGAAACUAUUUGGCCCUCUUCCACCUGCAGGGAACUAGAUUAAUUACCAGCGGACAACGACUGAUCAGGAGGAUGACAAAUCUACGAACCCCAUCUGCAGGUACAUCAAUAGUGCUUACGAGUACAAGUGAACCUAUAAGUAGUAGUCCUGAAGAGCAAAAGUGAACCUACAACUUCCUCCGCAGCUACAUUACUAGUUAAUAAAACAACCGAAGAACCAACAACUCCCUCUAUUGAUAAUCUUGAGUCUUCCACUUACACUCAAGCUAAGGACACUGAUUUGUCGACAGGUAUUGGGAGUAUUUUUGCACCUCUACCAAUAUUGAAAAGUAGUACUGCUAAAUUAUUACUAAGUUAGAAGCAGCAAUUAGGUUUUAAUGGAAAAUAGUCAUAUCAUCUUCUAUCAGUUCGGUAUGAACAUGCAUAAUGGUACGAUUAUUGCAUAAGAAAUAUUAUUGAUCUAAUGUUAUAAAACAUUAUUGCUAAAGAGGGUAGAAUUGACUAUCAGCUGUGGGAAAGGCAUCUUUAACCUUUAGCAUGCUGUAGAUGACAUUCUUAACCUUUUUGAUCAGUACCGGUAAACAGCUUAGAUGAGAUAUGUCUGCCCAGGAAAUGUGUAUAAACUGACCAUUAUGAGAUGACUGAAAAACAGGUUGAAUUUAGUGUAAAAAACAACAAAUCAUUAAUAGACUGUCAUUUAUUUUUUGAAAAGUUUCUAAUAUUUGUGUGUGUUUGUUUUUUUUUUGUUUUUUUGCUUUCAUUGCAUUUGAAGAAUCACACAACCAUUUUACAUCUAAACCUGAGCUAUCGUGCCAGAUUUGAUGCUGGUACUUUAAGACAAUAGGAGAAAAUGAGCCAAUUUCUUGGAAUGUGAACCCGGCUUUAGAUUAACUAGUUGAUAAGUCCUUAGUAAAACAAAAUAUUUUUUUUAGAGUUUCUGUCUUUCUGUUGAGUAGUAAUUAGAAGUUAUAUAUGCUGACAUCCGUAGCCACUGGACAUUAUCGAUGGGUAUUUGCUAUUAGCAAUUUGUAUGGUGAAAAUUAAUUACGAGCUAUAUAAAGAACACCCCUUGUAGUUUAAUGGGAAAGGGAAGUGAAUUGCUGCCUAUGCAGUGUCGUGAAUGCAAUGUUGUUAAACGAGGCAUACAGUCCGUACAUUUGUCUAGAGAAGGGUGUUUCUGUUGAGCACAGCUCAUUAAUAAAAAUUCAACCUAGACUCAAAGCGCAUAUAGUAAUUUAUUUAGCUCUUCUUUAGCAGGUCGCGCGUGAUACAUUUCUGUGUAAUAUGGCCCCCGUAUUGCCUUAACGUUCUUAUAUGCAAAUGAAUUACUUUAAAUAAACUGGAUGUAAACAGCG